CUCAGGGUUCCCUGGUCACUGAGGACUCGUCUAGACUUCAGGGCAGGUGCUCCAGAUCUCUGAUCAUCUUCACAGCCCUCCUCUGGACCCUCUCCAACAGCUCCACGUCUUUUCAGUACUGGUGGUCCCAGACCUGGAUGCAGUACUCCAAAUGGGGCCUCAAGAGGGCAGAGUAGAGAGGAAUAUCACCUCUCGGUCCCUGCUGUCCACCUCUCUUCUGAUGGAGCUCAGGGUACCAUUGGCCUUCCAAGUUACAAGAG
This 260-nucleotide long non-coding RNA is filed under the name Gallus gallus (chicken). Lineage: Eukaryota; Metazoa; Chordata; Aves; Galliformes; Phasianidae. The record is from RNAcentral.